CAGCACUUUGCAUCCUAAAAAUCUGACCCCCGAAAGAACAGACACGGGGACAGUCCUGGAUCUCGGGGGGACAGGGAUGGAGGAGCUUCCCGGGGAUCAGGGGGCAUUUGGGGAUUUUGGGGGGGAGCACAGGGAUGGAGGAACUUCCCGGGGAGCAGAGAGAAUUUGGGGAUUUUAGGGAUUUUGGGGAGCACAGGGAUGCAGGAGCUUCCCAGGGAUCACAGGGGAGGUUUUUGGGAUGCAGGAGCUUCCCGGGGGACCGGAGAGGGUUUUUUGGGGAGCACAGGGAUGAGCUCAGCCCCCAGCCCCGAGCACUCCCACCAUCUGCCUUUCCCAGGCAGGCGCUCAGGAAACUUCUCCCGGCUCCAAUUGCUGCGCUCCACCUUUUAUUCUAAUGAAUUCCGCAUCGCCAUCCGGGACCCCGGGGCUCGCAGGUACCGCAUCCCCGGGGAGCAGAACCGGGCUGGGACGGGGGAUUCCCUGCCCGGGACCCCGGGGCUCGCAGGUACCGCAUCCCCGGGGAGCAGAACCGGGCUGGGACGGGGGAUUCCCUGCCCGGGACCCCGGGGCUCGCAGGUACCGCAUCCCCGGGGAGCAGAACCGGGCUGGGACGGGGGAUUCCCUGCCCGGGACCCCGGGGCUCGCAGGUACCGCAUCCCCGGGGAGCAGAACCGGGCUGGGACGGGGGAUUCCCUGCCCGGGACCCCCAACCCGGGUUGGGGUGCAGGAAAUGUUCCAGCUGUGCUGCCCAGGCUGGGUUUGGGGUGGGAGCAGCUUUUGCUGGGGCUCGGAUGGGUUUGGGAGAAGCUUGGGAUUUGGGGAAAUCCAUCCCAGCUUGGCCGGGGUUGGGCUGAGCCUCCCCCUGCGCUGCUCCAAACGGGGUGGGACAUCCCAAACACUCCCUGGGGCUCGGAUCUGCCCGGAUCCAGGGCCCAUCUCCCCCAGGGUGCUGGAUCCAGGCAGGAUUCCAGCCCGGAGAGGCACCCACGGGAAGAGAGAGGCGCGGGAGCCCUUCCCGUUAUCCACAGGAAACUGCCCCGCAGUUUUGAGCAGGGUUUGGAAUGUGAGGGGACACCCGACAUCCAGGGAAUCCUGACAAAUCCCAGAAAUCCUUCCUGGGCGCGGUCCGGACCCAGGGCAGGGUCUGUCCUGGGUUUUGGAUCCCUUUGUCCAUCCCGCAGGGCUGGGGGAGCCCCUGGAUCCUGCCGGGUCCUUGGGAAGGGCAGCACUGCCCGCUCCCGGCUGUGCCCGGCUCUCCAGGCUGCGAUGGAUGCAGGGGGUUUGGGAACAGCCAGGCUGCAGGUGGAGAGUGGCUUCCUGAGCUUGCCAAAAAAUCCUGAAUUCCCUGUGAGCCUCCCGGCCCUUCCCUGUGCCUGUUGCUGCAUCCUGGGGCCGUUUUCUCCUCCUCCCUCUCUGCUUUCCCCACAUCCAAUUCCUUCUCCUUCACCAUCUGUUUUUCCACAUCCAAUUCCUCCUCCGUCACCAUCUCUGCUUCCCCCACACCCGAUUCCUCCUCCCUCACCAUCUCAGCUUUCCCCAUGGCCAAUUCUCCAUCCCUCACCGUCUCUCUCGUGCCAAUUCCUGCUCCCUCACCAUCUCUGCUUUCCCUGUGGCCAAUUCCUUCUCCUUUACCAUCUCUCCUAUGCCUGUAUCCAACCCCCCCC
Ficedula albicollis (Collared flycatcher) is the source of this 1664-nucleotide long non-coding RNA. The record is from Ensembl. NCBI's taxonomy places the organism in Eukaryota, Metazoa, Chordata, Aves, Passeriformes, Muscicapidae.